This is a long non-coding RNA of Lolium rigidum, 313 nucleotides long. RefSeq lists it as uncharacterized. The transcript is spliced from 3 exons. NCBI's taxonomy places the organism in Eukaryota, Viridiplantae, Streptophyta, Magnoliopsida, Poales, Poaceae. The record is from RefSeq and is a predicted model, not a curated record.
GCGGCGGCGGUGUUCAUUGUUUGCCAGCGCUCCCCGGCGCCGGUGCGGGACCAAGCCGUUGGACGCUUCAGAAGCAGAGGUGGGUGCCAAAUUGACUCGAUGGUUCAGAGCCGAGGUGGCUGCCAAAUUGAACUACACUCUCUUCUUGAUGGGUCUCUGAUGGAUGUGGCGGUUCUGGACUAAACCAUGGAGACAUCUCCUUCCGCAUUGAAAUGUAUCUUUCUUUUCCUUUUAGAUCCAAGGAUGUGAUUUAAAAGUUAAAACCCGACACUUUCUAUCAGUGUAGGACAGUAUGAGACAAUCUAAUGCCUAU